Molecule: RNA transcript, 2251 nt
Organism: Suricata suricatta (meerkat)
Lineage: Eukaryota; Metazoa; Chordata; Mammalia; Carnivora; Herpestidae
Gene: PTMS
Gene name: parathymosin
Exons: 4
Source: RefSeq, a predicted model, not a curated record
CUCUCCGCGCCCCGUUUCCCCGGCUCUCCUUCCAGUCUGACCUCACCUUUCCUCCUAAGCGGUUUGAGAUCCUCCAGAGUAAACAGGACUGUCCUGGGAGGCUGCCGCUCUCCGGCCCCUCCCCUCGAGGCCCGACCGCCUCUCGCUUCUCUGCUCAGACAUCUAUUGCCUGUGUCCGUCUUGCCCUUCUCUCCUUUCCUUCCUUUCCAUCUAUAUCCAUUUCUUACCCCACCGGCCUUCAGCUUUCUUUUCUGUUCAUAGCUCCCUCCAGCCUUUUCCCUUACCCCCACCCCCCACCCCCCCAAAGAGUCUUGGAUUCCUAAAAAUCAGAAGCGGGCGGGAAUAGCCUUCGAGAAAGCUGAAGCCCAGCGUUACAUGGCAUUGCAUCGAGCCGUCCUUGCUCUUAUCAGCUCCCUUCCCUGGCCCCAUCCCUUUGCCCUUGCCUCUAUUCCAGCCUUCCUCUAAUUUCCCUAGGGAACCUGCUGAGUGUCGCUUUGGGAAAUUAAUUCGGCCACCGUUUGGGGGCUGGGAGCCCUACUUGGGGAGGGGGCAUGGAAUUGGUUGUUGAGGAGAUCGUCGAGGUCUCCUGAAGGCCCCAGAAGUGAAAGAGGGGAAUCGGCGGGAUUAAAGGCAGUGGCAGAGGGGAGCUCUGCGUGAGAGCUGAUAAGGAAACGGUUACUUCUACCCUUCCACUAUACCACUGCCCACACCAGGGGGUUUAGGGAGGAGGAAACUACUUGAACUGGUUUGGAGUAGGUGUGUAUCAGGCUAGGGUGCUCUCCCUACUCCUGUCCUGUUUGGCCAAGUAGGAGCCUGAGGAGUUGGGGAACACACAAAGGCUUUCAAGGCCGAGGGGGGAAGCUGGGAGGUAUGCCCAGGAGACAGAAUACUCAGGAAAAGGCCCCAGAGGUAGACAAAAGGCAGAGUGGAGCAGGCCAGGAAGGCCGAGGGACCUCAAGAGGGGGUGGGGCAUCAGGGCUACCAGCAGAUGGAGGGGAUUUGCUUUGCUAAGCUGAACUCUUCAGCCUCAUGAGGUUUUGGAGAACUUGAGGUGGGUGAUGAGCAGUUAACCUUGGCUGUCCAUUUCUCUGUCUUCAUCACUUUCCCUCCUCCCUUGAGUCUUGGGGAAGAUGUCUGGUCUCAGCCCCUUUGCGGCCUUAGGGACCCUGGGACCUCUGUUUUGCUUCUGGGCUGUUGUGGCCAACUCCUCUAAGCUCACUGCAGAGGGAGUACGGGGCAAAAGGGACUGGCUGCAGCUCAUUUGUGGUGAGAGGAAGGUGACCUCUUUCUUGCAGGACCUGAAGGAGAAGAAAGAGAAAGUGGAGGAGAAGGCAAACCGGAAAGAGCGAAAGAAAGAAGUGGUGGAGGUGCGGAGGGGUCAGGUGGAGAUUCACAUCUCCUCUCCAGUUACCUUGGGGAGGCUGGGUCCUGCCUUUGCUUUAGCCCCUCCUAUCCUUCGUGCCCCACCCUUUGGGCCCUCUCAACACCCUUGCCAUUGGUGGGGGUGGAGGCAUACCACCAGCCUAACAGCUGCUCCCUCUCCUGGUUCCCACAGGAGGAGGAGAAUGGAGCCGAGGAGGAAGAAGAAGAAACUGCUGAGGACGGAGAGGAGGAGGAUGAAGGGGAAGAAGAAGAUGAGGAAGAAGAAGAAGAUGACGACGAAGGGCCCGCGCUGAAGAGAGCUGCUGAAGAGGAGGAUGAAGCGGAUCCCAAACGGCAGAAGACAGAAAACGGGGCAUCGGCAUGAGCCCCCCUGCCAGUGGGCUGGGGGUGGAAGGCCCCUUGGGGCCUGGAGGUGGGGGUGGGAACAGACAGAGUGCAGCCACUCUUCACCUGGUUCCUUGCUCUGGGCCCUGCACCAGAGCUGCCACCCUCUUUCUCCCCAGCCUUCUCAUGUCCGCCUCUCCAGACACUGCCCCUUCCAUCCUUACUCCGCCAUUAUUCCACCUCCCGACCUGCUCCAUCCGAGCUCCCCAGCUGAUCCCCAGUUGCUCCUCUCCCUGUCUUUGCUCUCUUCUUCCCUCCCCCACCCCUCCUUGGGUAGCCUCUCCUUCCUCACCUCUGCAUCCCAGCCUCAUGUCCUGCCCAUCCCUACCCUGCCUGAUCCCUGGGUCUCCCUCAGAUCCCCUUCUCUCAAGACAGCGCCAGGCCGGGGUGGGGCCAGGGUUGGGGCCGAGCCCCGCAGCUGCCCCCCUCCUCCCUCCCCUUUUUGUAUAAUUUAAUAAAGAAACGGUCGCGCUUCUGUUUUUAA